This 90-nucleotide transfer RNA is filed under the name Desulfoprunum sp. Its description in RNAcentral is "tRNA-Ser". It matches the Rfam family "tRNA". Rfam says of the family: Transfer RNA (tRNA) molecules are approximately 80 nucleotides in length. Their secondary structure includes four short double-helical elements and three loops (D, anti-codon, and T loops). Lineage: Bacteria; Pseudomonadati; Thermodesulfobacteriota; Desulfobulbia; Desulfobulbales; Desulfobulbaceae. The record is from RNAcentral.
GGAGGAGUGCCGGAGCGGUUGAACGGGACGGUCUCGAAAACCGUUGUGGGGGAAACUCCACCCAGGGUUCGAAUCCCUGCUCCUCCGCCA